GAAAGUUCUUGUAAAAUGAUCUUUCAUGCCAAAUCCUAAACUCUUCUCCUUCUUUGCAGGCGGGGGCGAUUUCGAGGAGGUAGUCUGUCACCAAAUCCAGUGAAAAUUAUUGCUACUGCUGAUGCUACGAGCCCAACUGAAUAUCCAAUCCCCACUGCUGCCCAAGAAAACCAUGCUUCCUCUUCUGGUGUCUCCGCAGGUGCAGGUGAUUGCUCUGAUGGACAUGCCACCCUAAUUUGCAGACCACACAACCCACUGUUGUUGGCGUAAUAGCUUGGAUCAUCUAUCGUGUCCAUUUGGCCUCCCUCAGGAAUCUUACCCUCCAGCUUGUUGUUGCUCACAUCCAGAAUAGCAAGUUCCUGCAACUUUGACAGGGUCUGAGGAAUAGACCCUGAUAGUUUGUUGUGUGACAAGUCCAGGCUUUCUACACUCUCUAAAUCACUAAAACUUUCUGGUAUCUUGCCAGAGAUGUGGUUGUGUGAAAUAUUCAGUAUCUUUAGACCUUUCAAGUGACCUAGUGAAGCUGGGAUUUUGCCAGAAAGUUGGUUCUUUGACAAGUCUAGCAAGGAGUAGAUAUCCAGGCUGUAGCUUGAAAGACCUCGCUUUGAAUUCUUCCAAUUCACAACCAAGUCAUUGAACUCAAUGGGAAUGAUGAACAUGUCCGCAAUUGAUGCAAAGGUAAUGGGUGUUUCUAUCAUUCCUAGCAGAUUUCCAAACUUGACAGGAAUUUCCCCAAUGAGGUUGUUGUUUGACACAUCAAGAAUUCGGAGACUAGUGAGGUUGGAAAUUGUGUCAGGAAUAGAACCUUCGAAGGAGUUGUUGCGUAAGUUCAGGACUUGAAGACUGGAAAUUUGGGAGAGAGAUGUUGGCAAUUUUCCUGUAAUGUUAUUGUCAUGGAGAUCAAGAUGUUGAAGCUUCCUCAAGUUAGUGAGGUUUUUUGGUAAUCUGCCAGAGAACUUAUUGUUUCCUAAUGAAAGGAUAAUGGUUUCUUCAGAAAAUGUCACCGGAACCUCACCUGAGAACUCAUUAGAAGAGAAAUCGAUGAAAGCUAGCAAUGCGUCAGGUUUAAAAAUUGGGAUUUUCCCUGAGAAUCUAUUUCCUGACAAAUCUAGCAGAAUAAGCCGAUAAAUCUCAGAGAUGGACUCUGGAAUCUUCCCUGAAAAGUUGUUAUCAGACAACAUGAGAAUUAUAA
RNAcentral lists this unclassified non-coding RNA (1192 nucleotides) under Hevea brasiliensis (rubber tree). The record is from RNAcentral. Lineage: Eukaryota; Viridiplantae; Streptophyta; Magnoliopsida; Malpighiales; Euphorbiaceae.